AUUGAACGCUGGCGGCAGGCUUAACACAUGCAAGUCGAGCGGGGUGAUGGUGCUUGCACUAUCACUUAGCGGCGGACGGGUGAGUAAUGCUUAGGAAUCUGCCUAUUAGUGGGGGACAACAUCUCGAAAGGGAUGCUAAUACCGCAUACGUCCUACGGGAGAAAGCAGGGGAUCACUUGUGACCUUGCGCUAAUAGAUGAGCCUAAGUCGGAUUAGCUAGUUGGUGGGGUAAAGGCCUACCAAGGCGACGAUCUGUAGCGGGUCUGAGAGGAUGAUCCGCCACGCUGGGACUGAGACACGGCCCAGACUCCUACGAGAGGCAGCAGUGGGGAAUAUUGGACAAUGGGGGGAACCCUGAUCCAGCCAUGCCACGUGUGUGAAGAAGGCCUUAUGGUUGUAAAGCACUUUAAGCGAGGAGGAGGCUCUUUUGGUUAAUACCCAAGAUGAGUGGACGUUACUCGCAGAAUAAGCACCGGCUAACUCUGUGCCAGCCGCCGCGGUAA
This 503-nucleotide ribosomal RNA is filed under the name uncultured bacterium. Its description in RNAcentral is "partial 16S ribosomal RNA". It matches the Rfam family "Bacterial small subunit ribosomal RNA", at positions 30 to 523 of the family's 1533-position model. The record is from RNAcentral.